This is a long non-coding RNA of Chiroxiphia lanceolata (lance-tailed manakin), 295 nucleotides long. RefSeq lists it as uncharacterized. The record is from RefSeq and is a predicted model, not a curated record. The transcript is spliced from 3 exons. NCBI's taxonomy places the organism in Eukaryota, Metazoa, Chordata, Aves, Passeriformes, Pipridae.
ACGAAAGAGAGGAGAAGAUGUCAGCAAACCCUUGGAAGCUUUGUCUGCAGUCUGAAAGCCAAAGCUCUGCUUUUUCUGGUUUAUGCCUCAUCAGUCAUGAAGAUUUUGCAGUGAGAGCUGAGUUGAUGCCAAUGCUGAUGGGGAACCUGAGCAGGAGGUGCUACAAGACAAAAGGAUGCAAGAAUUCUGGCAAGAUCCACGAGAAAAAGGUAAUAACAUCUUUUCUGAACAGUAUGGGGCUUUAUGCACUUUUUUGGCCUUGACUGAGGACAACAGUGGAAACUCAAGAGUAGAU